AGGGUUUGAUUCUGGCUCAGGAUGAACGCUAGCGGCAGGCCUAAUACAUGCAAGUCGAGGGGUAAGAGUCAGCUUGCUGACUACACGACCGGCGCACGGGUGAGUAACGCGUAUGCAACCUACCUUUAACAGAGGAAUAGCCCCGAGAAAUCGGGAUUAAUACCACAUAACAUUAUGAUAUGGCAUCAUAUUAUAAUUAAAACUCUGGUGGUUAAAGAUGGGCAUGCGUGACAUUAGCUUGUUGGUGAGGUAACUGCUCACCAAGGCAACGAUGUCUAGGGGUUCUGAGAGGAUGAUCCCCCACACUGGUACUGAGACACGGACCAGACUCCUACGGGAGGCAGCAGUAAGGAAUAUUGCGCAAUGGAGGAAACUCUGACGCAGCCAUGCCGCGUGCAGGAUUGAAGGCCUUAUGGGUCGUAAACUGCUUUUAUUUAGGAAUAAACUUUCGUACGUGUACGAAACUGAAGGUACUAAACGAAUAAGCACCGGCUAACUCCGUGCCAGCCGCCGCGGUAAUAC
RNAcentral lists this ribosomal RNA (522 nucleotides) under uncultured bacterium. Its description in RNAcentral is "bacterial SSU rRNA". It matches the Rfam family "Bacterial small subunit ribosomal RNA", at positions 8 to 526 of the family's 1533-position model. The record is from RNAcentral.